AUGAUGAGGCAUUAAAGAAGAGGAGGAGUGUCUCAAGGGAGGUGAGCUGGAGGUGAUGCAAGGAUGUCUGAUCUGAAAGCAUGUUGUGGUCCGCUACACACAAGAGCAAAAGAAGAGCAGGAAGGAGCUCAGUGCCAAGACCAUAGCCACAGGAAGAAAACCAGCUCUUAGGGCUGCAGCUCUAAAGACAGGCCAGGUCAUUACAGGAACGUCUGCUCCCUUAGCCUUGCCAGACAGAGGAGGGUUAAGAAAGGAACUGCUGACCCUGAUAUGCAAACUGCCACGAGUGCUUCCUGCCUUUCUAUCAGCAUCAGAUGGCUAGCGAUGGAUGGCUGUGGAGAGAGGAUGCCAGACAGAUAUUUGAGCAGAACAAAGAGAGCCAACAGGAUGAAGGCAUUCCCUGGCUGGUUGGACAAGCAACUGAAGAACAGGAACAGAAGUGAAUGAAAAGAGAAGAUGCUGUGUUUGUGUUUUCUCUUGGUUAGAAUGCUGUGAGUCAGGACCUUAGCUGCUGGGUGUCCUGGGACUGCCUUCGAUGAAGAACCUGAGGCUCACCUUGCUUAAGUGACUU
RNAcentral lists this long non-coding RNA (571 nucleotides) under Homo sapiens (human). Its description in RNAcentral is "non-protein coding lnc-DAD1-2:6". Lineage: Eukaryota; Metazoa; Chordata; Mammalia; Primates; Hominidae. The record is from RNAcentral.